UUACAAUUAUCUUGCCCUUCUGGAGGUGAGUUUGGUUGCGGAUUCGGACCGUCAACGUCACAGAGCUCCAAGCCACGUAAAACGCGGAUUCUCUGGCAACGCCUGAAGUGGGGUCAGGCAGCCCCCUGAUGACUGAGGUACACUGAAGACUGACUGCCACAAACGAGUGGCAAAUAACUGCACAGAAACGAGUUGAGAUUGUGACAGGAUCUGUAAAGGACAGGAGCCGGGAGAGUGUCCUCCAGUGGGGCCUGGACGUAGCUGAGGCCGCGCGGGAGGGUAUGUGACAGGGAAUACUUACACAAGGAAGGUGUCAAGCAUGAUCGCCAGUUCCAGGCUUAAGCAGCUGAGAACGGGAACCUUGAAGAGGUGGGCCCAUCUGGAUGGAAGAGCCGGAGGUUGCUCACCUGGAGACUCCAGCAGCCUCCUCAGAGACCUCCCCCCCCCCCGCCCCGCCCCCAUUCUCUGCACAGCCGCUGACGGUAGUCUCCUCAAUCAGGGCACUUCAGGGAUUACCCUACACAUAAUCAAUUCCAAAUUCCUCCCUCAGCCUCAGUCCUGCAUAACCUGACCCCUGCGUGAUCCCUCCCUCACUACACUCCAGACACAGAGACCGAGGUGUCUCAGCCUCACAUUUCAUGUGUUGUUCACUCCAUUCAGGAAACCGUCUCUGUAAGAAUCAAGAUGCUAGCAAGAUCCUGGAUAAUCUGUCCGCACGCAUGUUAAGCUUGAGAAGGAAGCACUGUCCCUCAGGACACACGGCAGUAGAGGAUCGUGUGCUUCCUCAACAGUGGAACGGCCUGCGAUCCUCAACCUGACGGAGAGACCAACUGGACCCGUCUUUGAGCCCAGCACCUUCCUUCAGGACUUGCCUCACUUGUCGCUGCUCAGGAGCCAAUCAAUAAACAUUUCCUGGGUGGACAGAUCUGGUGCUUCUCUGAACAUCAGCUGGAGGCAGCAGGUGUGCUCGUUCCCAGGGGAAAGGGGCCUCGGCUCAGUGCCACUCACUGCCCUCUUCCCCCACGAGGACCCCUCCUCCUCGCCCAGGAAACCACAGCUCAGAACUCAAGUGUCUGGAGGGCGGGGAACAGUGAGAAGCGGCCCCCCAGGAACCCGAGAGUCCCCUGUACUCUUGUGGGUGGAGACCUCACUCUCACGGGUGGUCCCGUUUCUGGCGGCCGAGCUCCCGGCAGCUGAGUGCCUCCUGAGUGGCCCCGGGCCCCCUGCUCUUUUCUCUACAUCUUGGCUUUGGGAGCACAGCUGCGGCGCUGGCGUCUGGUCCCCAGCAUUCUCCCUCUCCCUGCAGAGGCAUGAGGCAGCCCUCCGUCUUCUGUGGCCCCUACCCCAUGCCCAGAUGUGAGGGGGCCUGCCUGGGCUCAGAGCGGACCCCACAUGGCCCUUGCCAUCCUUCCCGGGAGGCCCCUCUCUGGACAGUGAAUGAAUUGUGGGACGCGGGAUCCUCACCUCCCUUGUAACAUUCCCUAAACAUCACCACCUCCUUCAACCCUUUAUUGGAUCCAUGUCACUGAUCUGCUUAUAUAUCACCAUUAUAAAGUUUAGAAGCCAUGGGGACCCAUGAUCAGACAUUAAACCCCUUUCCACACCUAAGCGCUCUCUAGGCAUCAGGUGGGAAGUGGGUUGGGGUCAUCUACACCAGGAGCUGGAAGCUGUGGCCACUACUGUUGACCGACACUGUCACCAUUUCUUCUCUGGUGCCAAAGUAGCCACAUGGUCCUUUAUGAGGACCUGUGACCACCUACCACUGUCAGUGAUGUUCAAGAGGCUACCUGGUACUGCAGAGCCCCCAUGUCGCCAGGGUACCCGAGUGGGCUCACAGCGAACCUUUGGAAUAGGAGUGGGGGCCACGGGACGAUUCUUAAGGCUGGAGGAAAAGUUCCCUUCCAACAGAAGGCGCGAGUCUGACUGGGGCUCACGUCCGCCCUGGGUGCUCAUGAAUUCAGGCCAGAUGCUGCCUCUGUUCCCCCCCCUUACAGAGGGGUGGACACACAUCUAAACAGCACUUGUUACCUAGCGUUGCUAUCUCUCAUGAGGCUGGGAAGGCAGAGGGACUUGCUCACAGCCAAGGGAAGUCCCACCCCGAGGUCUCUUCCUGAUCCCCUGACACCUGAACCACUUCCUCAGGGUGUUCUGUCAGUGCCCUUUGAAUCCUUCAGUUUAGUGAAGUAAUUUCAGUCACAACAUACUCACUGGAUCCAAGUCCAUCCUCUGUAUAGAGGUGAGAGCUCCUUGAAGGCACCACUUGCACCAUCAGCUCGUCAGUUUCUCAGCCUCGUCUGUGUCAGCCUGGGUGCUACACUCACGUUACCCGUUACCUGUGCUCUUGACUCUGAGUAACAAAGUGUGGCUUCGUGACCCCAGGUGGACGCUGACCCCAGCCCCACCUGCCCCUGCAUAUACACACAACAGUGUCUACUUGCCAGCACAGGCCUUGGGUCAAGGACUUCCUGUCUCCCUCCUGGCUGCCACCCACACUCAGUUUUGCUUUUUUCAGGGUAGCUCUCUGGCCAUGCUGCCCAGCUUGCAGUUUCUUAGUUCCCUGACCAGGGAUCAAACCUGUGCCCCCGCAGUGGACAUGGGGAGUCCUAACCACUGACCAGACAGCACGUGAGAUACUGUGUCAGUGCUUUCCGGCUCACACAGAAACUUCCUUGCGUCAAGUGCCGGGUUAGCAUCUGGACCACACCCUUGGCCGCAUCCUUCGGCAACAAGAUUGCACGGGACUUCCAAGAGGAUGAGGUUGGUACAGAGCUUUGGACUCCAGGAUGACCUAAAAGAGACUCCCCACUGGCCAGGUUAAAGGGCUGUGAUCUGGAGUGUGGGCCUGAAGCUGCUUCUCCAGGGCCCAGAAGGCCCACACUUCUUGUGUGAACAGACUCAGCCCAGGGUGCUCUCUUCAGUGCAGAAGGCAGCCAGGAAGAGGGGCUGGAGCAGGGAUGGCACGUGGCCUUGGGUUUGGCCUUGUUUCUCUUUGGUGAUGGGUGGGGCUGGAUGGUGGCGAAGAUGGUGGUCUUAAGUCUUACCUGACUAGAUCUACAAUGUUAGAACAAGAUUCAAAGCUCUGUAUCACAACUCAUUUCAAAUUUAGACUCUCAACUCACAUUUUGGAAAUAUUUCUUUGAAUUCAGGGCCAAAAGGAGAGAUAUUUGGGCCAUGAUUUCCAAGUUGAACAUCACGACCCUUGACCUAGACCCCGGUGGUUGGGGGCUGAGGGAAUGGGAGGCAGGACUCUACUUGCCUGUGCCCUGGGAGGGACUAUGCAGACCAGAGGAGGAACUUCAGCUCUCCCGCCGGUGGUCCUCUUCUGAGAUGUCAUUUCUACAGCGCUCAGGACCUUGCAUGUCACCCCCUCAGUAAGGACCCCUGGAACCGGAGCAGAAACAGGGGAAGGACGGCGUAGUGGCCAAGUGCAAGCGUCGCUCUAAGCUGGAGGCCUCUUCUCAUCACGGCGGGGCUGGCAGGCCGUGCUCUGCACCGUGCCCCUGGCAGCCCCCAGAACAGCCCCUCAGGUGGGCAAGGGAGGGCUGGUGCCGCAUCUGCCCAGCCCAGCCCAGGGGGCCGUGAUGGCGUCCUCCCUUGCUGAGCCAGGGUGAGGAGUGGGCCGCGGACUCCCUCUAGUCCCCAGGACACCCUCUGCAGGAACUCUGGGACUGGCAGGUAGGAACGGGGGUCCGGUGGGGGUGGGGGUGGCUAGGACGGGGAGUGGAAGGGAGACAAAGUGCUGCUUCAGGCCCGCUGCUGCCCCCGGCUCUGGCUGAGGGUCUUCCGCUGGCAGCCAAGCAGGACCUUCGCAGCCCUGGCCGAGCCCAGCUGC
Odocoileus virginianus texanus is the source of this 3832-nucleotide long non-coding RNA. RefSeq lists it as uncharacterized. NCBI's taxonomy places the organism in Eukaryota, Metazoa, Chordata, Mammalia, Artiodactyla, Cervidae. The record is from RefSeq and is a predicted model, not a curated record.